Molecule: ribosomal RNA, 372 nt
Filed under: uncultured organism
Description: bacterial SSU rRNA
Rfam family: Bacterial small subunit ribosomal RNA
Source: RNAcentral
CGUAGGUACCGAGCGUUAUCCGGAUUUACUGGGCGUAAAGCGUGUUCAGGCGGCCUGGCAAGUCGGGCAUGAAAUCUCUCGGCUCAACCGAGAGAGGCUGUCCGAUACUGCUGGGCUUGAGGACGGUAGAGGGUGGUGGAAUUCCGCGUGUAGUGGUGAAAUGCGUAGAUAUGCGGAGGAACACCAGUGGCGAAGGCGGCCACCUGGACCGUCCCUGACGCUCAAACACGAAAGCUAGGGUAGCGAACGGGAUUAGAAACCCCGGUAGUCCUAGCCGUAAACGAUGUUGACUGGGUGUCAGAGGUGUAAAACCCUUUGGUGCCGGAGCAAACGCGUUAAGUCAACCGCCUGGGGACUACGGCCGCAAGGUUA